RNAcentral lists this ribosomal RNA (469 nucleotides) under uncultured Alphaproteobacteria bacterium. RNAcentral's name for it is "bacterial SSU rRNA". It matches the Rfam family "Bacterial small subunit ribosomal RNA", at positions 11 to 528 of the family's 1533-position model. Lineage: Bacteria; Pseudomonadati; Pseudomonadota; Alphaproteobacteria. The record is from RNAcentral.
GUUUGAUCCUGGCUCAGAACGAACGCUGGCGGCACGCCUAACACAUGCAAGUCGAGCGCACCUUCGGGUGAGCGGCGGACGGGUUAGUAACGCGUGGGAACAUACCCUUCUNUAAGGAAUAGCCACUGGAAACGGUGAGUAAUACCUUAUACGCCCUUCGGGGGAAAGAUUUAUCGGAGAUGGAUUGGCCCGCGUUAGAUUAGAUAGUUGGUGGGGUAAUGGCCUACCAAGUCUACGAUCUAUAGCUGGUUUUAGAGGAUGAUCAGCAACACUGGGACUGAGACACGGCCCAGACUCCUACGGGAGGCAGCAGUGGGGAAUCUUAGACAAUGGGCGCAAGCCUGAUCUAGCGAUGCCGCGUGUGUGAUGAAGGUCUUAGGAUCGUAAAGCACUUUCACCNGGGAUGAUAAUGACNGUACCUGGAAAAGAAACCCCGGCUAACUCCGUGCCAGCAGCCGCGGUAAUAAGG